GACGAACGCUGGCGGCGUGCCUAAUACAUGCAAGUAGAACGCUGAAGGAGGAGCUUGCUUCUCUGGAUGAGUUGCGAACGGGUGAGUAACGCGUAGGUAACCUGCCUGGUAGCGGGGGAUAACUAUUGGAAACGAUAGCUAAUACCGCAUAAGAGUAGAUGUCGCAUGACAUUUGCUUAAAAGGUGCAAUUGCAUCACUACCAGAUGGACCUGCGUUGUAUUAGCUAGUUGGUGAGGUAACGGCUCACCAAGGCAACGAUACAUAGCCGACCUGAGAGGGUGAUCGGCCACACUGGGACUGAGACACGGCCCAGACUCCUACGGGAGGCAGCAGUAGGGAAUCUUCGGCAAUGGACGGAAGUCUGACCGAGCAACGCCGCGGGAGUGAAGAAGGGUUUCGGAUCGUAAAGCUCUGUUGUAAGAGAAGAACGAGUGUGAGAGUGGAAAGUUCACACUGUGACGGUAGCUUACCAGAAAGGGACGGCUAACUACGUG
Molecule: ribosomal RNA, 495 nt
Filed under: uncultured bacterium
Lineage: Bacteria
Description: partial 16S ribosomal RNA
Rfam family: Bacterial small subunit ribosomal RNA
Source: RNAcentral